Molecule: long non-coding RNA, 1494 nt
Organism: Ornithodoros turicata
Lineage: Eukaryota; Metazoa; Arthropoda; Arachnida; Ixodida; Argasidae
Exons: 3
Source: RefSeq, a predicted model, not a curated record
AGUGUCCUGUCAUAUUGCCGUACAACGUGUUCUGUUACAACAGCGGCUACCAGGAUACGGUGCGUCAGACUCCCUUCCACUUGCUGUACGGACGGGAUGCUGUGCUUCCACUACACGUCGUGCACAGUCUUAGGCAGCUCGCUGACCUAGAGCAAGUGCCCGAUUAUGCUGCGGUCGUCAGAUCCAAUCUGGCGGAAGCUCGGGAGUUGGCUUCGAAGCAUAUGGGGUUCGCUCAGCAGAAGCAAAGCGCCUCUUCGACAAGCGUCCGUUGUUUUCGAAAAGUGCCAACUAGUGUUGCAGAGGACUCCGCCAACUGGGCUGAAGAAGACAACUCUUUACGAGGGACGACACUGCGUCCCGUCAAGGGUGUCUCCGGUCGUGUGCGAGGUAUAGAGUAUACUCUGACGACAGAGGGACAGGUAUCGUCCAUGUGGAAAAAACUGAGCCAUAUUUAUAGCCAACUGUUGCUGACUUUGCCCAGACUUGCUGACCUGUCUUAGGGUGUCAUUGUGGUGUGUCUCCUCUCCCUGUCCCGUGUUUUCGGCUGCUUCAAUUAUUCUGUUGUUGCUGACCUGUUCUCCCCCAUGUAACUAGAUCCCCUGUGUAUAUAGUCAUUCACUUGCGUAUAUUUUCACUCACUGUACCUUUGGACAUCGAGACGAUGUCUUCGCUGGCGCCGGCAUGUGUGUGUGUGCUGCCGCGUAUACCCGCCAGGUGGCGGAAAAUGAAGAAGGGAGACCGCGAGGAGAAGAGGAAAAGGAGAAGGACAGGAAAAGGCAGUCAAGAACCAGCACUGAACUGUCUAGGUGGUCCUUAUAAACUACGGUAACUUCGACUACGUUACAACCAUCAUCACUCCUUGGACAGAGUGGGGUGUACGCCUCUGCGUGACACUAAGCGCAACUGUGUAAGGCGUAUACGCCCCGCGCUUUCCACAAAUCAAGGAGUGAUAACGGAACCAUUCAGUGCAGUAAUGGACCUUCUGAAAGUGCUGUGUGGUAAUGAAUGCACAUCAUCGACAUCCGCGUCGAAGGCCGUAUAUGCGGUGUAGAUGCACCAGAAAAAAAAAAAAGUGACCGGCGGCAUGGCCGAAUGGACACGGCGUUCGCCCGUUGGUGCCAUAGUGGCCGCCCAAGGCCACGCUGAAGACUGUGAGGGUUCGAGCCUACAACCUGCUGUGCUGUCUGAGGGUACCCUCCACUGCUGCGGGGAGCUUCGGAAGAGUGACACGAUAGUGUGUGCUUCCGGUCGCUAUAAUGUCGACAAACGAAGUUCCGGUGACACUAUUUGGCCAUUUCCUCUCUGCGGGGAGUGGGAACGGGGCUGGCGUGGCAGCGGCAUCGUAAUCGAUGCCCAGUUGCCAUGAUGAUCACAGCUGAGGCCAGUGAUCUGCGAUGAACAUUUAAUGCGAAUCGGAGGACGUUCAUUGCUCCGCUAUUGCGUAAUCAUGUAAUGUAAUCAAAUCAUGUAAUGGAGCUUCUUUGCAGAAGUGCA